RNAcentral lists this ribosomal RNA (406 nucleotides) under uncultured bacterium. Its description in RNAcentral is "partial 16S ribosomal RNA". It matches the Rfam family "Bacterial small subunit ribosomal RNA", at positions 30 to 526 of the family's 1533-position model. The record is from RNAcentral.
AUUGAACGCUGGCGGCAGGCCUAACACAUGCAAGUCGAGCGAGCGGCGGACGGGUGAGUAAUGUAUGAGGAUCUGCCUGAUGGAGGGGGAUAACUACUGGAAACGGUAGAUAAUACCGCAAACCAGCAUAUGACCCCAUAUGGUAUUAGCUUGUAGGUGAGGUAACGGCUCACCUAGGAGACGAUCCCUAGCUGGUCUGAGAGGAUGAUCAGCCACACUGGGACGGAGACACGGCCCAGACUCCUACGGGAGGCAGCAGUGGGGAAUAUUGCACAAUGGGCGCAAGCCUGAUGCAGCCAUGCCGCGUGUAUGAAGAAGGCCUUCGGGUUGUAAAGUACUUUCAGUCGGGAGGCGUUACCGACAGAAGAAGCACCGGCUAACUCCGUGCCAGCAGCCGCGGUAAUAC